This 468-nucleotide ribosomal RNA is filed under the name uncultured bacterium. RNAcentral's name for it is "partial 16S ribosomal RNA". It matches the Rfam family "Bacterial small subunit ribosomal RNA", at positions 28 to 507 of the family's 1533-position model. The record is from RNAcentral.
GACGAACGCUGGCGGCGUGCUUAACACAUGCAAGUCGAACGGAAAGGCCCUGCUUUUGUGGGGUGCUCGAGUGGCGAACGGGUGAGUAACACGUGAGUAACCUGCCCUUGACUUUGGGAUAACUUCAGGAAACUGGGGCUAAUACCGGAUAGGAGCUCCUGCUGCAUGGUGGGGGUUGGAAAGUUUCGGCGGUGGGGGAUGGACUCGCGGCUUAUCAGCUUGUUGGUGGGGUAGUGGCUUACCAAGGGUUUGACGGGUAGCCGGCCUGAGAGGGUGACCGGCCACAUUGGGACUGAGAUACGGCCAAGACUCCUACGGGAGGCAGCAGUGGGGAAUAUUGCACAAUGGGCGGAAGCCUGAUGCAGCAACGCCGCGUGCGGGAUGACGGCCUUCGGGUUGUAACCCGCUUUCGCCUGUGACGAAGCGUGAGUGACGGUAAUGGGUAAAGAAGCACCGGCUAACUACGUG